CACGCUUCGGCCCAAAGAAAUUCUCAGCCCAAUGCGAUAUCUUACCGAGAAGAAACCCAAUUUGGGGCACGCGAAAGUUUGCCAUAUGCGCUUAUACACAUGCCACGCCAAGCAAAUAAACAACAUGCCAUGCUACAAGCUUAAGUGGGCCCAAGCCACGCAAGAUGCCCGGGGCUUGCUUGAGUGGGUUGUGGUAUGGA
Molecule: long non-coding RNA, 200 nt
Filed under: Prunus persica (peach)
Lineage: Eukaryota; Viridiplantae; Streptophyta; Magnoliopsida; Rosales; Rosaceae
Description: long non-coding RNA (PPER_LNC004959)
Source: RNAcentral